This 6586-nucleotide long non-coding RNA is filed under the name Sus scrofa (pig). Its description in RNAcentral is "lncRNA (ENSSSCG00035077896.1)". Lineage: Eukaryota; Metazoa; Chordata; Mammalia; Artiodactyla; Suidae. The record is from RNAcentral.
UUUCCAUUUCUUUACAUCCUCUUUAAUUUCCUUGAUUAAUGUUUUAUUGUUCUCAGAAUAUAAGUCUUUCACUUCCUUGGUCAGGUGUAUUUCAAGGUAUUUGAUUUUUUGGAAUGCAGUUUCAAAAGGUAUUGUAUUUUUAUAUUCCUUUUCUAAUAUUUCAUUGUUAGUGUACAGAAAUGCAACUGAUUUCUGAAUGUUAAUCUUAUAUGCUGCUACUUUGCUGAAUUUGUUUAUCAGUUCAAGAAUUUUUGAGUUGAGUUCUUAGGGUUUUUGAUGUAUAAUAUCAUGUUAUCUGCAUAUAGUGACAGUUUUACCUCUUCUCUUCCUUUUUUGAUGACUUUUAUUUCUUUCGUUUGUCUGAUUGCUGUGGCUAGGACUUCCAGUAAUAUGUUGAAUAACAGUGGUGAGAGUGGGCAUCCUUGUCUUGUUCCCAAUUUUAGUGGGAAGGCUUUAAGCUUUUCUCCAUUGAGUUUUACAUUUGUUGUGGGUUUGUCAUAAAUGGCUUUUGCUAUGUUAAGGUAUGGUUCCUCUAUACCCACUUUGGUAAGAGUUUUUAUCAUGAAUGGAUGUUGGACUUUGUCAAAUGUUUUUUUCUGCAUUUAUUGAAAUGAUCAUGUGUUUUUUGACUUUUCUUUUGUUAAUGUGGUGUAUGAUGAUUGAUUUGCAUAUGUUGAACUAUCCCUGUGUACCUGGAUGAAUCCCAACUGGUUGUGGUGUAUGAUCUUUUUUAUAUGUUGUUGGAUUUGGAUGGCUAAAAUUUUGUUGAGAAUUUUUUUGUCUAUAUUCAUCAAAGAUAUUGGCCUAUAGUUUUCUUUUUUGGUGAUAUCUUUGUCUGGUUUUAGAAUUUGGGCAAUGUUGGUGUCAUAGAAUGUCUUUGGUAGUGUUCCUUCUUCAACCUUUUGAAAAAGUUUAGGGAUAGGUAUAAGUUCCUUUUUCUAUGUUUGAUAGAAUUCACGUGUGAAGCUAUCUGAUCCUGGACUUUUAUUUGUAGGGAGUGUUUUUAAGACAUGUUCAAUUCCAUUUCUAGUGAUUGGUCUGUUCAUUUUUCUAUUUCUUCUUGAUUCAGUUUUGGCAGGCUGUAGGUCACUAGAAAGUUGUCCAUUUCUUCUAGGUUGUCAAAUUUGUUGGCAUACAAUUGCUCAUAGUAUUCUCUCAUGGUUUUUUGUAUUUCUGUAGUAUCUGUUGUGACUUUUCGUUUUUUAUUUCUGAUUUUGUUUAUUUUUUUUUCUCUCCUCUUCUUCAUGAGUCUAGCCAGAGGUUUGUCAAUUUUGUUUGCCUUUUCAAAGAACCAGUUCUUGAUUUUACUGAUUUUUUUUCUCUUGUUUUUCGAAUCUCUAUUUUAUUGAUUUCCUCUUUGAUCUUUAUGAUUUCCUUCCUUCUGCUGACCUUAGGUUUUGUUGGUUCUUCUUUUUCUAAUUCAUUUAGGUGGUGGGUUAAAUUGUUGAUUUGAGAUCUUUCUUCUUUUUUGAGGAAGGCCUGUAUUGCUAUGAAUUUCCCUCUGAACACUGCUUUUGCAGCACCCCAUAGAUUUUGUGUGGUUGUGUCUUCAUUAUCCUUUGUCUCGAGGUAUUUUUUAAUUUCCUUCUUGAUUUCCUCAUUGACCCAUUGGUUUCUUAGUAACAUGUUGUUUAGUCUCCAUGUAGUAGGUUUUUUCUCACUUCUUUUCCGUGGUUGAUUUCUAGUUUCAUGCCAUUGUGGUCAGAGGAGAUACUUGAAAUAAUUUCUGUACUCUUAAAUUUGUUGAGGUUAGCUUUGUGCCCCAGUAUGUGAUAAAUUCUUGAGAAUAUUCCAUAUGCACUUGAGAAGAAUGUAUAUUCUGAUUUUUUUGGAUGUAGUGUCCUGAAAAUGUCAAUUAAGUCUAACUUUUCUAUUGUAUCCCUUAGGAUAUCUGUUGCCUUAUUGAUUUUCUGUCUAGAGGAUCUGUCCAUUGAUGUGAGUGGGGUGUUAAAUUCUCCUACUAUAAUUGUAUUCUGAUCAUUUUCUCCUUUUAUGUCUGUAAGUAUUUGUUGUAGGUAUCUGGGUGCUCUUAUAUUAGGGGCAUAUAUAUUGAUGAUUGUAGUAUCUUCUUCUUGAACAGAUCCUUUAACCAUUAAAUAGUGACCUUCUUUGUUUUCUUUACGGCCUCCAUUUUAAAGUCUAUUUUGUGUGAUAUGAGUAUUGCAAUGCCUGCUUUCCUGUCUUGUCCAUUGGCAUGAAAUACCUUUUCCCAUCUCCUCACUUUUAAUCUAUAUGUGUCCUUUGUCCUAAGGUGAGUUUCUUGUAGGCAGCAGAUUGAAGGUUUUUGCUUUUUUAUCCAAUCUGCCACUCUGUGUCUUUUGAUUGGAGCAUUCAGUCCAUUGAUAUUUAUGGUGAUUUUUGAUAGAUACGUAUUUAUUGCCAUUUUAAACCUUAUUUUCCAGUUGAUUCUAUGUUUAACUUUUGUUCCUUUCUUUUUUUGGUUGGAUGGCUUCCAUUUAUUUUCUGCUUGAGUUCUUUUCUUUUCAGUUUUUGAGUGUAAUGUUUGGUUUUGAUUUGUGGUUGCCCUGUUUUUUAAGUAUUUUAACCCCUUCCUAUAUCUGCUUGCUUUAGCCUGAUAGUCAUAUAGGCUCAAACACAUCAUUAAAAUAAAGAAUCUAUAUUUUUCUUACUUUCCUUCCCCACAUUGUAUGAUUUUGAUGUCUUUUUUAAAAACAUCUUCAUGUUUAGAUCUGUAUGCUGGCUUAUUUAAGUGAUUGCUUUCCAAUUGCGGUUUCCUCCAUUCUAAUUCUUCUUACUUUUUUUUUUUUUUUUAAUUUGGAGGAACCCUUUUAGUAUUUCUUUUAGAAUGUGUUUAGUAUUGCUGUACUCUUUUAGCUUUUGUUUGUUGGAGAAAUUCUUUAUUUCCCUUUCUAUUUUUAAAUGAUAUUCUUGCUGGAUAGAGUAUUCUAGGUUGCAAAUUUUAUCCUUUCAGCACUUUAAAUAUAUCUUGCCACUCCCUUCUGGCUUGUAAUGUUUCUGUGGAGAAAUCAGCUGAUAGCCUUAUGGGGGUUCCCUUAUAAUUAAUGCUUUGCUUUUCUCUUCCUGCUUUUAGAAUCUUCUCUUUAACUUUUGCCAUAUUUAUUAUAAUAUGUCUUGGCACGGGCCUAUUUGGAUUCAACUUGUUUGGGGCCCUAUGUGCUUCCUAUAUCUUGCUAUGAGUUUCCUUUCAAUUUGGAAAGUUUUUAGAUACAAUUUCUUCAAAUAUAUUUUUGAUCCCCUUUUCUUUUUCUUCUCCUUCUGGAAUUCCUACUAUGCAUAGCUUGGCCUGCUUUAUGUUAUCCCAUAGAUCUCUUUUAUUGCCUUCAUGUUUUUUUAAUUUGGUUUUCUGUCUGCUGUCCUGACUGGGUGAUUUCUAUUAUUGUAUCUUGCACAUCACUAAGUCAUUCCUCCACAUUAUUCAUUCUGCUCUUUUUUGCCUUUAGCUCAGUUUACAUCUCUGCAAAUGAAUUUUCUAGUUUUCCUUGGUUCCUCCUUGUAUUUUCUAGUUCCUUUCUAAAGGAAUUGCAUUACUGUUCAUAUGCUUUCUUAAUUCCUUAAGUAUUUUCACUAUCUCCCUUUUGAACUCAAUGUCUGUCUUACUGCAGAGGUCUGUUUCAUUGUUGACUAUUUUAGGUUAAUUCUCCUGUUCCUUUAAUUGGGAUUGGUUUCUGAGCUUCUUCAUCCUGCUUCUAUUUUUCUGUGAGUUUGGGGAAGCCAAACUGUAAUCUUGUAAGCCUACUUCUAUGCAAGAAUGUAUUUUUUGUUGGGGUUACUAUUUACUUUUGGUGUGGGAGUUUCAAUAUUUGCUGUCUCUUUCUUUGGUGUGAGUAGGCUCUUAUCCCCAGGAUGCUCAGUGUGUUUUCAGGGAGAAGGAGGCAAUAGGUAGGGCCAGCAGUCAGUGCCUGGUUGCUGGGCUCUCAACAGCAGCAAGGACUUGCAGGAAGGUGACACAGGCUACUCCUUGUUGCAGGGCCCUGGGAAGUGGUAAUGAGCUCUAGGCAGAUUUACAAGGUGACCAGAGCAUUUGGCAGUAGCAACAGCAGGGUGCAUGAGUUCCCAGGGGAGUGAGAGCUACAACAGCUAGUGUUCGAUUGCAGUGCCCUCCUCUGAGGUGAUUGGAACCACAGGUAGUUCCUGUUCAGGGUCCCCUAGUGGUAGCAGGCCACAACUGCCUCUGAAGUCAGUGAUAACUGUGGUGGUUUGCCCCUGGCACCUGUAGACCUUGCAUGAAGCAACCCAUCUCACUUAGCCCACAUAGGAGGUGCUGCACAGGCUGCUCCUAGUUGUAGGCACCUGGGAAGGGACAGUGACCAAGUGUCUGGGUGUUGCCCAGAGCAUUUGGCAGUGGCAGCUGCAGGGCUAGUGUGUUCCCAGGGGAGUGAAAGCAACAGUGUAUGGUGCUUGGUUGCAAUGCCCUGUUUUUUUCUUUUUUGCUAACCCUUGAGGUGACUGGGUUGCAGGUGGAGCCCACUCACAGACCCUCAGUGGUGGCAAGCCACGCCUCUCUCUGGCCUCUGAGAUGACUGUCGUAGUCUGUCCCUGCCACCUGUAGAUUGUGCAAGUGGCACCACAUCACAUUUAGCUCCCUGAUGCCCUUAGCCCACACAAGAGGUGCCUGGCUACUGAUAGCCUGUACAAGAAACACCCAGUCUCCCUAAAUGAACAAGAGGCUUCUCUGUGCCCGCAGCCUCACCAGAGCUGCCCUGCCCUCUGAGAGCCUGCGGGUAUGCACACACCUGGGCAUGGGGAGUUUCCUAUGGUGGUCCGCCUCUCCUCUCGCCCUCCCCAACAAUGGUGUCUUGCCUCUCUUGUGGGCUUGGACCUUCUGGGUUCCCUCUGCUGUGGUGUUCCCCUCCCCAGCCUGUGGCACAGAGCCCUCCUGCCCAUGGCACACUGCUCCUUAGCGCCUUAGGCUGUCUCCACACCAUCAACCCCAGUCCUCUCCCUGGGACCUACUUUCGGAGCCUAAGUCUCAGCACCUAGCCCCUGCUGGAGCAUCUCAGGCUGUGAUGUCCUGGAUGGUGGUUCAGAUGAUCUCUGCACCUCUCACUCUGCUUUGCCACUCUCAGUCUAGCUGCUGUGCUUUUCUCGGCGACUUUGAGGUCCCUCCAACUCGGCUGAAGUUAGGUGGCUUCCCAGGAUGUGGGUUCCUUUUCUCCUUCACAGCUUUCUCUCAGGAAUGCUAAGCCCGUCCUGAUUCCUUUUUUCUCUCUCUCUUUUUUUCUUUUGUUCUACCCGGUUACGUCAAGGGUUUAUUGACCUUUUUGGAGGUUUAAGUUCUUCUGCCAGCAUUCAGUUGAUGUUCUGUGCGAGUCGUUUCAUAGGUAGAUGAGUUUUUUUGAUGUGUUUGUGGGAGAAGUUGAGCGCAAUCUCUUACUCUCCCACCGUCUUGCUCCACCUCCCCUCCUUAUUAUUAAAGACAAUCUGAAUUAGGUUUUCUGUUACUUGGAAUCAAUAGUAUCGAACAUGGUAAGAUAAGUACUAUUUUUUAAUGUACUUUCUGUGUGUACAAAACUUUCAACAUAAACUCAAUCUUCACACCACCCUGGGAAGAGAACCUCAUUAUCUCUGUUUUACAAAUCAGAGAGCCAAAACUCAGAAUUGCUGCUGAAGGUAGCAGAGUAGAGAUUUGGAUCUGAUUCCAUCAAGACCCAAAGCCUGGGCUCUUUCCUUUUUUGUUGUAUUAUAUUCCAAUUAUGGAGUCUCAUAUCCCCUGCAGGUGUACCAUUAGAGUUCUGUGUUCAAUCUGUAACAUGCUUUUUUCUGACUUCUGUCUGGGACUAUUUCCAACCACCACUGUUUUUGAGGUAUAGGCUGUGCGAAAGCACAUUUUAUUAUUAUUUUUUUUACUGCUGAAUACCCUGAUGAGAUUCAGGAAAUACAAAUCAAAGUUAUAUUAACAGAUUAGAAUCUGUUUUUGAAAUAGACUCAAGUAUUUAGGGAGAAUUGAAUGCAGUUCUUUUAAAAAAAUGUUAUUGAAGUAUAGUUGAUUUACAAUAUUGUGUUAAUUUCUGCUGUACAGCAAAGUGACUCAGUUAUAUAUAUAUAUAUAUGUGUAUAUAUAUAUAUAUACACAUGCAUAUAUAUGUUCCUUUUCAUAUUCUUUCUCAUUAUGAUUUAUCACAGGAUUUUGAAUAUAGUUCCCUGUGCUGUACAGUAAGACCUUGUUGUUUAUCCAUCCUGUAUAUAAUAGUUUGCCUCUGCUAAUCCCAAACUCCCAAUCCUUCUCUCCCCUCCCCAGCUUUCCCUUGGCGACCACACGUCUAUUCUCUAUAUCUGUGAGUCUGUUUUUCUUUUGUACACAUGUUGCUUUGUGUCGUAUUUUAGAUACUACUUAGAAGCGAUAUCACAUGAUAUUUGUCUUUCUCUUUCUGACUUACCUUACUUAGUAUGAUAAUCUCUAAUUCCAUCCAUGUUGCUGCAUGGCAUUAUUUCUGAAUGCACUUCUUUUAAAUCCUGCCUGAAAUGGUAACAGGACAUAGCAGAACGUAUGGGGAUUUGGAAUUAGAUAGAUAUGGAUAAAAAUUCCAGGUCUAGGAUAUAUGGAUUUAUGGGGUGGCAGAUUAAAUGUGCCUAACAGAUAUGCUACCAAAAUAUCACUUAAAAU